Molecule: long non-coding RNA, 1201 nt
Filed under: Homo sapiens (human)
Lineage: Eukaryota; Metazoa; Chordata; Mammalia; Primates; Hominidae
Description: HSALNT0065344
Source: RNAcentral
GUUGAGGCAGGCAGAUCACGAGGUCAGAAGUUCGAGACCAACCUGACCAACGUGGUGAAACCCCGUCUCUACUAAAAAUACAAAAAUUAGCCAGGCGUGGUGGCACGUGCCUGUAAUCCCAGCUACUCAGGAGGCUGAGGCAGGAGAAUUGCUUGAACCCGGGAGACAGAGGUUGCAGUGAGCCACGAUCGCGCCACUGCACUCCAGCCUGGGCGACAGCAAGACUCUGUCUCAAAAAAAAAAAAAGAAACUUCCUAUAAUUAAGCCCACUAUUUAAUAUAUUUUCAUUCCAAAUUUUAGUUUCAGAUUUUAAAGGAAAUAAAUACCACAUUAGUGAAUUUUAUCUUUGCCGAUUAUUUUUCAUAAUAAAAGUAGCUUUAUUUUUACAUGUCAUUUUGUACCUUUUAAAGUACUUUCACAUGUUAUUUUAUCCUUUUUAAAUUCUAAAUUUGUGAUUUACAUAGUUGCACUGCUGGUUCUUGUUUUAGAAUCUUACCGUUACUCAGUGUAUUUGUGCAUCUAAAGAUCCUACAGCGCAUUUUAAAGAUCAUUAUAAAGACAGGAAAUUGUACUAAACUGCGAUAAACACAACAUCUCAAGUAGUUUUCUCAUUUUAAUAACCUUUAUCCUUAUUCUUUUCUAUUUUUGCCUAAAACUUUUAUUAGAUUCAGACUGCUAAUGUCAUUUCAUUAUAUUGAAUUUAUUAAUCCUUUCCUUUUUAGCCAUAUACUCUUAUUGUAUAAAUACAGAGCAAAAUGAAAAGUGUGGGCAUAGGAUUUUUUAUGGAAGGAUAAAAUUUGAGAGUUAAGCUAAUUCCUGUUCUGGAAUAGUCUCUAUAAUGUGCUGGAUGGGAAGUUAUCAGGUCUGAUAUUUUCUGUGUGCCUCUUAGAUCAACUCCUUCCUCUUUCAGAUAAUUAAUUCUUCAUUUUGAAAACUUAAUUCUCCUUCUAGUUUGUAUACCGUUAUUUUCCAUAAAUUUUCAUAGCAAUUUGAUGAUAACUUCCUAUACCAUACAUUUAAGGCUAUAAAAAAAAUUACAGUAUUUAAAACAGUUUAAUUCUGUAAUGAUAACAGGCAGACCAGUGACUAGAAUACAUUCAAGCAUCUGGAAAUUUAGAAUAUAACAAAGGAGAUAUUUCAAAUAAGUAGGAAAACAAAUUAUUUAGUAGAAAAAAAAUGGAUAAAACUGGUUAGUGAUUUG